UUGACCGCUAGGGGUUAGGGUUAGGGUUAGGGUUAGGGUUAGGGUUUUCUUCUCCUUUCAUUCCUCCUUCAUCUUGCGAUUGUUUGUUCUCUUAACUUGGUUCUUACUUUGGCUGGAUGAUUAAAACUUAUUGCCGUGUUUGCAUAUUUCUGAAGUAACCGUCAUAAAUCAAUGCUCACGGUGUAGAUGGCACCGCCCUCAUGGGUGGCAUCUCCGCCGGAGCAGUUUCAUAUUCAAUUGCCUUGUGGAGCAGCGUCGCUGCCUUAACCAUUUGGGACUGGCCAUGAACCGAACAUUACAAUCCAAUUUUUUCAAUGUCUUUUUUAGAACAUAGGGUAGGACUUGCUCUGAAAUUUGAAAAAAAUAUCUUACUUGUUUUGUUUAGUGAGCUUCAUAGUGUAUAUCAAAUUUAAACUCAAUAAAUUGUUAGGAUUUUUAUGCUGGUGGGAGUGGAACAGUAGAAUUUCUGUUCUUUGUUCUUUUUAAUUGCUUUCUGCCGACAACAAAUUCAAAGACAUUUUGAUAAACAGUUCCAAUAUUGGCUCUUGUGGAUUAGUUGAUUGCUUGGUAUUUUUAUUCACUUUUUCCCCUUAAUUGCAAUAAACAGUUAUUUUCCUACUGCCUAACUAAAUAUUAUCAAAUGGUGUUUAAUACCAAGUGCUUUUUCUAAGUUAUAGGUUUGAUCUACUGACACAAUUGACCAGGUCACCCAGCAGCCAAUAAAAGGACAAAAGUGUGGUGGGGAGUUCAAUUUGGAGAAAUGGAAUGCACAUGGAGCUGCAUAUCUUCUGCAUGAUAGGAACAAAAUCACUUUUGAAUAAGAAGUCUCUAGUUAUAAAUGGUUUUACUCAAAUCAAUAGAAAUCCAAAACACAGAAGUGAAAGAGAGAAGAAAAAACCAUUCCGGUUGGAGUUUGGAGAAAGAUGUUUAGAUAAUUUGUUUGUGCAUUCAGUCCCAAAUAUGAGCAAAUUAUAUUCUGAGGCCAAAUACUGAUAGGGAAUUCUGUAGGUGCACUGACGAAAGAAGUUGCAUCCAAAAUAUUGUUUGAUUACUAACCUGCACGUUGUAGUAGCAAAAGAAAUCCAAUCAAUGAUGUAUAGAUAAAUGACCAAAUUAGGCAAUAUAUGGAUAAGUUUAUAAACUAAUAGUAUCAACAAAGUAAACCAAGAUUGAAGGCAAUUAGAAAACAACUUAUAGAAAAAUUCAAUUGAGAGCAUAGAUUAGAACAAUUGUAUUCAACUUGUAGAGGCCAGGUAAUAUGAGAACUGAUCAAUGUGAAAAAAAAAA
Molecule: long non-coding RNA, 1287 nt
Organism: Glycine soja
Lineage: Eukaryota; Viridiplantae; Streptophyta; Magnoliopsida; Fabales; Fabaceae
Exons: 3
Source: RefSeq, a predicted model, not a curated record